This 560-nucleotide ribosomal RNA is filed under the name uncultured bacterium. RNAcentral describes it as "bacterial SSU rRNA". It matches the Rfam family "Bacterial small subunit ribosomal RNA", at positions 338 to 916 of the family's 1533-position model. The record is from RNAcentral.
CCUACGGGAGGCAGCAGUGGGGAAUAUUGCACAAUGGGCGCAAGCCUGAUGCAGCAACGCCGCGUGAGUGAUGAAGGUCUUCGGAUUGUAAAACUCUGUUCUUGGGGAAGAAUAAAUGACGGUACCCAAGGAGAAAGUCCCGGCUAACUACGUGCCAGCAGCCGCGGUAAUACGUAGGGGGGCAAGCGUUGUCCGGAUUUAUUGGGCGUAAAGGGUACGCAGGCGGUCUUUUAAGUUAGAUGUGAAAUCUUACGGCUCAACCGUAAUCAGCAUUUGAAACUGGAAGACUUGAAUCAAGGAGAGGAAAGUGGAAUUCCUAGUGUAGCGGUGAAAUGCGUAGAUAUUAGGAGGAAUACCAGUGGCGAAGGCGACUUUCUGGACUUGUAUUGACGCUGAGGUACGAAAGCGUGGGGAGCGAACAGGAUUAGAUACCCUGGUAGUCCACGCCGUAAACGAUGAGUGCUAGGUGUCGGGUGUCAAAGCUCGGUGCCGCAGCUAACGCAUUAAGCACUCCGCCUGGGGAGUACGUACGCAAGUAUGAAACUCAAAGGAAUUGACGG